RNAcentral lists this ribosomal RNA (250 nucleotides) under uncultured prokaryote. RNAcentral describes it as "partial 16S ribosomal RNA". It matches the Rfam family "Bacterial small subunit ribosomal RNA", at positions 524 to 773 of the family's 1533-position model. The record is from RNAcentral.
UACGGAGGAUGCAAGCGUUAUCCGGAUUUAUUGGGUUUAAAGGGUGCGCAGGCGGCGCGUUAAGUCAGCGGUGAAAUCUCCCGGCUCAACCGGGGGACUGCCGUUGAUACUGGCGUGCUAGAGUACGGACGGCGCCGGCGGAAUGUGUCAUGUAGCGGUGAAAUGCUUAGAUAUGCCACAGAACACCGAUCGCGAAGGCAGCUGGCGAGGCCGGAACUGACGCUCAGGCACGAAAGCCGGGGGAGCGAAC